Molecule: ribosomal RNA, 738 nt
Filed under: uncultured bacterium
Lineage: Bacteria
Description: bacterial SSU rRNA
Rfam family: Bacterial small subunit ribosomal RNA
Source: RNAcentral
GACGGCAGCACAGUGUAGCAAUACAUGGGUGGCGAGUGGCGCACGGGUGCGUAACACGUAUGCAAUUUGCCCAUAACUGGGGGAUAGCCCUCCGAAAGGAGGAUUAAUACCCCAUAACCCAACGAGGUGGCAUCACUUUUUUGGUAAAUCUCCGGAGGUUAUGGAUGAGCAUGCGUCCGAUUAGCUAGUUGGUGAGGUAACGGCUCACCAAGGCAACGAUCGGUAGGGGGUCUGAGAGGAUGAUCCCCCACACGGGUACUGAGACACGGACCCGACUCCUACGGGAGGCAGCAGUAAGGAAUAUUGGACAAUGGAGGCAACUCUGAUCCAGCCAUGCCGCGUGAAGGAUGAAGGCCCUACGGGUUGUAAACUUCUUUUCUCUUAGAAAAAACUACUGGUUUCGUACCGGUACUGAUUGUACAAGAGGAAUAAGCAUCGGCUAACUUCGUGCCAGCAGCCGCGGUAAUACGAAGGAUGCAAGCGUUAUCCGGAUUCACUGGGUUUAAAGGGUGUGCAGGUGGGGUAAUAAGUCAGUGGUGAAAGCCCCCGACUCAAUCGGGGAACUGCCAUAGAUACUGUUAUUCUUGAGUGUAGUUGAGGCGGAUGGAAUAUGACAUGUAGCGGUGAAAUGCUUAGAUAUGUCAUAGAACACCGAUCGCGAAGGCAGUCCGCCAAACUAUUACUGACACUGAAACACGAAAGUGCGGGGAUCAAACAGGAUUAGAUACCCUGGUAGUC